UACAGAGGGUGCAAACGUUGCUCGGAAUUACUGGGCGUAAAGCGCGUGUAGGUGGUCUCAUAAGUCGGGUGUGAAAGCCCAGGGCUCAACCCUGGAAGUGCACUCGAUACUGCGAGACUUGAGUACUGAAGAGGAGAGUGGAAUUCCCGGUGUAGAGGUGAAAUUCGUAGAUAUCGGGAGGAACACCAGUGGCGAAGGCGACUCUCUGGGCAGUAACUGACACUGAGACGCGAAAGCGUGGGUAGCAAACAGG
RNAcentral lists this ribosomal RNA (253 nucleotides) under uncultured bacterium. Its description in RNAcentral is "partial 16S ribosomal RNA". It matches the Rfam family "Bacterial small subunit ribosomal RNA", at positions 524 to 776 of the family's 1533-position model. The record is from RNAcentral.